RNAcentral lists this unclassified non-coding RNA (252 nucleotides) under Hevea brasiliensis (rubber tree). Lineage: Eukaryota; Viridiplantae; Streptophyta; Magnoliopsida; Malpighiales; Euphorbiaceae. The record is from RNAcentral.
GCUGGGGCAGAGUUUAUCCUUGAUACGACUGGACAGGGUUGAUGGAGUGGGUGUCAAAGGGUGAAAACUUGUAGGCGUCAAAGAAGAGCCAGGAGGAGUUGACUCCAAUUCAUUAUGGAGUUUGCAGAAGUUCCUUCAAGUACUCAAUUGCAUCCCCAAGGAUUGAUGCCCUAUCCAUCUUGCUUAUCUUUGGAACUACAGACCUUAGCAUGUAUAGCCUAUCAUUGAGCUUCUUCCGGCGUCUCCUUUCUG